UGCCAGCAGCCGCGGUAAUACGGAGGGUGCAAGCGUUGUCCGGAUUUAUUGGGCUUAAAGGGUGCGCAGGCGGUCUGAUCAGUCAGUAUUAAAAGUCCAGAGCUUAACUCUGGAAUGUGUAUUGAUACUGUCAGACUUGAGUAUCAUGGAAGAAGCUGGAAUCGGCGGUGUAGCGGUGAAAUGCAUAGAUAUCGUCGAGAAGGUCAAUAGCGAAGGCAGGUUUCUGUGUGAUAACUGACGCUGAGGCACGAAAGUAUGGGUAGCGAACGGGAUUAGAAACCCCCGUAGUCC
This 291-nucleotide ribosomal RNA is filed under the name uncultured bacterium. RNAcentral describes it as "partial 16S ribosomal RNA". It matches the Rfam family "Bacterial small subunit ribosomal RNA", at positions 506 to 796 of the family's 1533-position model. The record is from RNAcentral.